AAAGAGCACUGCCAGGGUCCCCUGGUUUGUAUAGGUCUGUACCAGGACUCUCUCCCACCUCUCAUCUUGGACAGAAUAGAAUACUAAUGGAAUCCAACACAGGAACUGUAUACUGAUGUACUUCCAGCUAAACACAGUUGUAGUGAUAGGGUGAUAGGCAAACUAAAGCAGCAGCACAAGCAGUGAUCAGUGUCUCACCAUUUGACCAAUAGAAACAAACCUCUGCAGUGCUGAAGGUGGAGUGACAGCCAAACCAGCAAAUCAGGCAGAAGGAAGGCGGCCAUUACUGCAGCAAAGGAGGAAAUCGGCAGUAAACAGCGUUACUAUCUGACUUGCACUGUAGGGGCAUAUGGAGGCGGGGUCAGGCAGGAGGAGUUUUUCCAAACUUCACAACACACAGCAACGGGGAAGCAGGCGGUGUACAGUCGUCUGUGACGUUCAGAAGGAACUACAUCUCCCAGAAUGCAUCGCUCACACAGGAACAAGGUCAACAUGCAAUGCAAUGCCUCCAUCCAUCCUCUCCGAAAAUGUUCAUCUGCCUGAUUGAAAACUCCUGUGCUCCGUGACUUUCUCACACCCAAGACUAUAUUCAGGGCCUAUUUUGAAUCUCAGUCCCGUCUGCAAUUGCCUCACAUGAAAUUGAAAGGGGCAGAGAACACCUAUUUAUUUUUAGCGUUACCAGAUUUUGGGCUCUGUCUGACAGUCUCCUGUUACUCAUUAGCAUUCCCCCGAUUUCUGGCAAAAAUCCAAUGUGCACAUGGGCAGAACAGCAGAGUAAUAUGCGCAGUACAUAAUGUUCAGGCUUCAUGUGUGCAUGUGCAUGAUGUUGCUUCCAAUGACAAAAUUAUCAACAAGUCCCUCUGUGACAAAUUAAGAAAGUUGAAAGAUCUGCACACACACCCAGGGCCACCAUCAGGGGGACACAGGGAGUAACAGUUGUACUGGGCCUAAAGGGGUGCUGCUCUUUCCGAAUUAGCUGGCCCCCCUUGGCAGCCUGUAAACUGGAUCCGAAGUGCAAUGUCCCAAAGACCUGGAAACCCAAAGACACAAAGUCCCAAAACCAUGAAAGGAGCCAAAGGGAACAAGAAAAGAGAACCUGAGAUCAACACUGUGGAAUGCAGACCCGGCCUGGCAAUCUGUGGAUUCUGGCAAACUGAACUGCUAUCAGUGGGGUGCAUGGGGAACAGUCCCGGGCCUGGUGGCUUUCGAGUCUUAAAGGGGCUGGUUCACCUUUAAGUUAACAUUUAGUAUGUUAUAGAAUGGCCAAUUCUAAUCAACUCCUCAAUUAGCCUUCAUUAUUUAUUUUGUUAUAGUUUUUUUAA
Long non-coding RNA from Xenopus laevis (African clawed frog), 1322 nucleotides. RefSeq lists it as uncharacterized. The record is from RefSeq and is a predicted model, not a curated record. The transcript has 3 exons. Lineage: Eukaryota; Metazoa; Chordata; Amphibia; Anura; Pipidae.